This 81-nucleotide transfer RNA is filed under the name Hypsizygus marmoreus. It matches the Rfam family "tRNA". Rfam says of the family: Transfer RNA (tRNA) molecules are approximately 80 nucleotides in length. Their secondary structure includes four short double-helical elements and three loops (D, anti-codon, and T loops). The record is from Rfam by way of RNAcentral. Lineage: Eukaryota; Fungi; Basidiomycota; Agaricomycetes; Agaricales; Lyophyllaceae.
GUCCCUGUCGAUUAGUGGUUAAAUCAUCUCGUUGUGGUUUACUGCUCCGAGAAGCCGGAGGUUCGAAUCCUCCUCGGGACA